Molecule: ribosomal RNA, 547 nt
Filed under: Synapturanus sp. Eastern Guiana ABGD cluster 6
Lineage: Eukaryota; Metazoa; Chordata; Amphibia; Anura; Microhylidae
Description: partial large subunit ribosomal RNA
Rfam family: Bacterial large subunit ribosomal RNA
Source: RNAcentral
CAAAAACACCGCCUCCCGUUCCCCAUGAGAGGUCCAGCCUGCCCAGUGGAUUUACUAAACGGCCGCGGUACCCUAACCGUGCUAAGGUAGCGCAAUCACUUGUCCCCUAAAUAGGGACUCGUAUGAACGGCACCACGAGGGUUAUCCUGUCUCCCCCCUUUAAUCAGUGAAACUGACCUCCCCGUGAAGAGGCGGGGAUAAGUAUAUAAGACGAGAAGACCCCAUGGAGCUUUAAAUACACACCACCUACUCUCCUUAUAUCUAUAAAACCAAGUAGCUCUGGCCACUGUUUUAGGUUGGGGCGACCACGGAGUAAAACUCAACCUCCGAGACGAACAACUAAUUCAAGAACAACAACUCAAAAAAUCAAAACUGACGUAAUUGACCCAAGCCCAUUGAUCAACGAACCAAGUUACCCUGGGGAUAACAGCGCAAUCCAUUUAAAGAGCCCCUAUCAACAAAUGGGUUUACGACCUCGAUGUUGGAUCAGGGUACCCCAGUGGUGUAGCCGCUACUAAAGGUUCGUUUGUUCAACGAUUAAAACCCU